This 380-nucleotide ribosomal RNA is filed under the name uncultured bacterium. RNAcentral describes it as "bacterial SSU rRNA". It matches the Rfam family "Bacterial small subunit ribosomal RNA", at positions 28 to 409 of the family's 1533-position model. The record is from RNAcentral.
GACGAACGCUGGCGGCGUGCUUAACACAUGCAAGUCGAGCGGUAAGGCCCUUUCGGGGGUACACGAGCGGCGAACGGGUGAGUAACACGUGGGUGACCUGCCCUUAGCUCUGGGAUAAGCCUGGGAAACUGGGUCUAAUACCGGAUAUGACUCCAUGACGCAUGUUGUGGGGUGGAAAGCCUUGUGCGGCUAGGGAUGGGCCUGCGGCCUAUCAGCUUGUUGGUGGGGUGAUGGCCUACCAAGGCGACGACGGGUAGCCGGCCUGAGAGGGCGACCGGCCACACUGGGACUGAGACACGGCCCAGACUCCUACGGGAGGCAGCAGUGGGGAAUCUUGCGCAAUGGGCGAAAGCCUGACGCAGCGACGCCGCGUGGGGAGU